GAUGAACGCUGGCGGCGUGCCUAAUACAUGCAAGUCGAGCGAACAGAUGAGGAGCUUGCUCCUCUGACGUUAGCGGCGGACGGGUGAGUAACACGUGGAUAACCUACCUAUAAGACUGGGAUAACUUCGGGAAACCGGAGCUAAUACCGGAUAAUAUAUUGAACCGCAUGGUUCAAUAGUGAAAGACGGUUUUGCUGUCACUUAUAGAUGGAUCCGCGCCGCAUUAGCUAGUUGGUAAGGUAACGGCUUACCAAGGCAACGAUGCGUAGCCGACCUGAGAGGGUGAUAGGCCACACUGGAACUGAGACACGGUCCAGACUCCUACGGGAGGCAGCAGUAGGGAAUCUUCCGCAAUGGGCGAAAGCCUGACGGAGCAACGCCGCGUGAGUGAUGAGGGUCUUCGGAUCGUAAAACUCUGUUAUUAGGGAAGAACAAAUGUGUAAGUAACUAUGCACGUCUUGACGGUACCUAAUCAGAAAGCCACGGCUAACUACGUG
Molecule: ribosomal RNA, 497 nt
Filed under: uncultured bacterium
Lineage: Bacteria
Description: partial 16S ribosomal RNA
Rfam family: Bacterial small subunit ribosomal RNA
Source: RNAcentral